UUUCAUGUGCAAUGAUUUUGA
This 21-nucleotide non-coding RNA is filed under the name Caenorhabditis elegans. Lineage: Eukaryota; Metazoa; Nematoda; Chromadorea; Rhabditida; Rhabditidae. The record is from RNAcentral.